Cyprinus carpio carpio is the source of this 1009-nucleotide long non-coding RNA. The record is from Ensembl. NCBI's taxonomy places the organism in Eukaryota, Metazoa, Chordata, Actinopteri, Cypriniformes, Cyprinidae.
AUAAAUAAAUAAAACACAGCUUUUGACAUUAAUUGAUGGACUGCAGUCAUGUUGAUUACUUGUGGAUAACUGUGAUGUUUUUAUCAUCUGUUUGGACUCUCAUUCUGAUGGCACCCAUUCACUGCAGAGGAUCCAUUGGUGAGCAAGUGAUGUAAUGCUACCUUUCUCAAAAUCUGUUUCUGAAGAAACAAACUCAUCUUCAUCUUGAAUGGCCUGAGGGUGAGUACAUUAUCAGUAAAUUUUCAUUUUUGGGUAAACUAUUCCUUUAAGGACAUUUUUGUUUACUUUUACAUGAUAAACAAUUCUGAAACUGUGUCCUGAAACAAAUCCAGCUGAAAACCGCAGAUCUAUAUAGUUUUAGAUAGAGGAUCAUUUCAAACCCCACCUCAGGCUAAGGUUUAAACCAUGCGUCCUGAAACAAAUCCAGUCGAGAACCAAUGAUCUAUACAGUUAUAAAUACAGGAUCAUUUUAAACUCUCCUUCAGGAUAAGGUUUAAACACACACACACACACACACACACACAAAGUGACUGAUAGCACCGGCUCGGAUCAGACUGUUGACAAAUCACUGUGAAAUUUGCCUUGGGCCUACAUCAUGUAUGCCAGAGAAAUUCACAGGAAUGAUUAGGGAAAGAGGAAGUGACAUCAUUGACCUCCAGGGAAGCCAUGUUGAAAAGCUGAUGAGAAGACCCCCCCCACCCCCACCCCCCGGAGAAAGCAAUAUCAUGGAGGGAGGACUCAAGGUUUAGCCAGAAGCAACAAUUUGAGGUUAUGGAUUUGUAUAAUGGAUUUAUAAUGGAUUUGUUUCUUACAAACUUGCCAUUUUCAUUCCACAAGACAUGAAUUGAUGGACUGGACUCAUGUUGUGAAUUAAUGUGAUGUUUUUAGCAGCUAUUUAAAUUCUGAAGGCACCCAUUCAAUGCAAUGGAUCCAUUGGUGAGCAAGUCAUGUUAAGCUAAAUUUCUCAAAUCCAUUCCCAUGAAGAAACAAACUCCUCUAUAUCUUGGAU